RNAcentral lists this long non-coding RNA (5649 nucleotides) under Sus scrofa (pig). Its description in RNAcentral is "lncRNA (ENSSSCG00030057092.1)". Lineage: Eukaryota; Metazoa; Chordata; Mammalia; Artiodactyla; Suidae. The record is from RNAcentral.
CGCAGCAUAUGGAAGUUCCCCAGCUAGGGGUCAAAUCAGAGCUGCAGCUGCUAGUCUACAGCAACAAAGGAUCCCAAUCAUGUCUGCAACCUAUACCACGGCUCACAGCAACACCAGAUCCUUAACUCACUGAGCAAGCCCAGGGAUCAAACCCACAUCCUCAUGGAUACUAGUUGGGUUCAUUAUCGCUGUGCCAAAACAGGAACUCCAGUGGGUUUUAAGUUCUCCAAUACCUUGGCUUUCUGCCCAGUCUUAUGUUUUCCAGCUGUGGGAUCUUUGCUGCAAUUACAUCUCAAAUCUUGUUUGCUACUAAGAGCCUUCACUGACCUUUUGGGGCUCCAAGUAUCAAGCAACAUUAGUUUUUGCUACCCUUUGUGACUUUACUUGCUCUUGAUCCCACUUAUUAAGCAUAAGCCACACACACCAUAGGCUUCUCUUAGUCUGUUGAGUCUUGCCUACUCUGUCACUAAUGGCACCUUAGUCUUGACAGAAACUAGGUCCUGAUAUUCCAAGGCUAUGCAGGGUUAUUCUUUGUUUAGGUGCUGAACUGGGUGGUGCAAAUCAGGCACUGUGUAUUUUGAGACCAAGCAAAAUUUUAAAAGAAGGAUUAAAGUAUAAAAAGUAUAAAAUUUAUUUUGGAAUAAGGGCUCAAUAAUUACUUGCUGACUGAAUUAUUUUCUAUAUUUUAAUGUUAAUCUAAGAGUUCUGUUAUAUAUUUCAGACUGUACAAAUCAAAUAUUGCAAAUGAAGGCAGAGGCACAGCAUAAAUGAUGGACAGAGAAAAAUCUGGCAUCCAACCAAAGUUAUAACUUUUAAUGAAUUGCCUUUUUAACAAGCUACCCUGCCAAUUACUGUGACAGAAUCAUAUUAACAUAAAGCAAUCUCUGUUUCUGAUUUGUUUAUUGUUUUAAGGCCAGACAUCUUGUGUCUUUUUUGCUUUGGCUUAACUCUGUGACUUCUAAAAUGAUUUAUACAUUACUAUAAUCAGUAAAAUCUUGAAACAAUGGAGGUUAUGCUCAGAGUAUUUCUAUAAUAAUGAUUUUCAUCUUCAAUGUAAAAAAAAUUUGCAGGUUCAAAGAUAAGGAAAUACAAAAAAAGUUUAUUUCUAUGGAGACUUAUGCAGUCAUUUUAUUUGAAAGUGGCAGUUUCAAAAACAAUUUUGCUGUGUUUUGAGUACAAAAGUGCUUUAAGUUAGAUUCUUUCCUUUUAAUCAUAUUCUGUCUGAUCUAGAUAUGUCAGCUAAACACAAAAAUCCCCAUUGGAUGUUAUUGUUGCCAUAGCAACCAGACUGCAGCUUCCAAUAUCUGUGUGAUGAAGUGCUGACACAUUUUCAGCACAAGGUGCUAAGUGGAGGUUUGUUUCACUAAUUAGGUGGCAAAAAUGAUCAAGUCCUUCAUGAUUAAUGAUGUCACAAAUUACGCAGUGGACAAACCUGAGAAACUUUCUUAGCCAGUGCUUUAUAUCUUUAAGAGAAAGGUAAAAAUGAAAGUCAUUUUGCAAUCUUUUGGUUAACUAGUAAGAAAGGCAUAAGUUUCUGAGACUGUUUUACUCCAUAAUACUAGAUAUGCUCUGUGCCUUGCUUAGUUUUUAAAAUCAUUAGCUUUCUUAACAUUUUAUAUGAUUUAGGAUCAAAAGGAUGAGAGUUUGAGUUAUAUUUGCUUGAAUGGCAGAGUACAGAAAUUGACAGUAAAAGUUUCUUAAUUCUAUUGGCAUCUGAAAUUUACUGGUCUUUCAGAGGACUGUGCUUUCUCUUAUCUAAAUGAGGUUUCAUUUCUUAAGUAUAUUUUUGAGGAAUAGGAUAUCUUGAGUAAUUGAGUAUAUUGAUUAUUAGGAUAAUUACUAUACCCUUAGGAUGAAUUAAUCCAUAAGAUAUAUAGACAUGGUGAUAGUUUUUAUGAAACCAUUCCAAAUGUAAUAUAGACGAGGGCUUCCUAAUUCAGAGUAAUGAGGAAAACCACAUAAUUCCUAAAGUUGGACACCCUUAGUCAGGGACCUAUAAGUGAUCAGGACUGCUGGGAUAUUGGGUUAUCAUUAGAAAAUGGGUCCUCCAUUCUCAAGAACAUUUGGGAGAGUUGUCCUUUCUAUGCUACUUCCUGGUCCUCCAGAAUGUAAACGUUUUUCUUUGGUUACUCAGAACCCUCCACUCUUUCUGCUUCUUUCUCCUGGCCUUUCUUAAAACUCUGCUUUUAUAAAAGUGCAGAGACCAUCAUCUAGAAUGAAAAUAAAGGAAUCAUUAAGGAUAAGUGCUUGUCUAGUAUUCAAGGGGAGACACACUCACUUUUUAGUCAAGGAUGUAUACUGAUGCCAGCAUCUUUGUUGAGUCUUUGUUUUUACUUUAGCAUAGAGUGGGAAAAAGGGAAGACUGUUCUCAGGACGUACCUGAGAUAUAACACUGAUGGACAUUUAUGAAGCACUCAACAUAGCACCUAGUACAUAAUAUAUAAAAAUAAAUGGUGUCUAUUAUUAAAAGUAGUGAUCAUGAUGAAAUUAUAUAGGACAAGCUAUACAUGCUGAAUGAUAUGGGUUUGGAUAUACAUAGUGAAAUAAUGUAGGGUAGACCUUGUGUAGGGAGAAAAUAUAGGGUUGGUUAUACAUGGUUUAGAAAUUCAGAAAAGGAAAAUAUUACUUCAGAAUGGAUUGACUAAGUAAAUUGUUAUAAAAAGAAAGGCAUUGUGGUGAGAAUAGAUGAGCUGAGAAGGAUAUUCUUGAGGUUAUCAUGCAUGAUAUAGGAAAUUAGAAGCAGGAAAGAGCAAGGUUUCUAUGAAGGACAAUAUCAAGUGAAGCAACAAUAUGUUUGAUCUGGGAGGUUGCAUAUGAGGUUGUUUUAGGUCAUUUCCUUUCUUCUGGAAAUAGGAGGGUGAGACCUAAGGGUGGUUUAGCUACAGCAUCUUUCAUCCAGGACUGAGUAAGUUGUACUGGCUGUCUGCAUGGGUGGGAUAUUCUUUUAUUACUUCCUAGGUGUCUUAGUUGAAGCUGUGAGAUUGCAUAAAAAGGAUGCAAGAGAGCCAUUUUAAGGCCAAAGUAUAUUCUCCAGGAUAGGCCAUGAUCACACUAAUGACCCUAAACCUAGUGGACUCCUCAGGCAUUACAGGGUCUGUGAGUUAUUUUCAUUCAGUUUCCUGCAUUCCUGCUGCAAACUACAUAUUACCCACUCUCAGUUUAUAGAUGCAUAACAUUUAUAAAAUUAACCUCUAACAAUUCUUCACUCUAGUCAUGAUUUAAUAUUGUCCUAUAUAUCCUCAUGGUUUAAAAAUCAUAAUAGAGUUUGAAAGAUAUUUUACAAAAAACACUAUCCAUGAUCUAGAGAGGAAAUUUUAAAGAAAACUUUAGGGAAUUACUGUUAUAGUCAUUCCUUUAUCAUUCAAACAUUUAUUGCACAAAAGUGUUUUGAGGCACUACUCUGUGUCAGGUACUUUGCCCAACAUUGGGAACUUAAGCAUUAAUAAGGGAAAGGAAGGGACUUGCUAUUGAUAGGCUUAAGAGUCAGCCUUGUCAGACAAAGGACUCAUCACUCUGUCUUAGAAUCAUUCAGCUUUAUCCAUGCUUACUAAGGCUGACAUUUGCAUUGGGUUUAUCUGUUGGAAAGAGUAAUAAAUUCAUUGAAAAAUUUGUGUUAAGUAGUCAUUCCUUUCAGACACAGUGUUAAAAAACAUUAAGAGCCAUUGUUUGAGUUCCCACUAGAUGGUUUAUUUAAGAGUUAGCACUUAUAUAUUUUAAAUGAAAGCAUCUGCAAAAGAAAUCCAAGUGGGUAGAAAUUAACUCUCAUGUUCCUGUUGGCCAUAUGUACAACAGGCACAUGAAAAAAAUGCUCAACAUCACUAAUUAUUAGAGAAAAGCUCAGUUCAAGUAGUUUUUGCAUUGAGUCCUUAGGGUUUUCUAUAUAUAGUAUCAUGUCAUCUGCAUACAGUGACAGUUUUACCUCUUCUCUUCCUAUUUGGAUGCCUUUUAUUUCUUUUGUUUGUCUGAUUGCUGUGGCUAGGACUUCCAGUACUAUGUUGAAUAACAGUGGUGAGAGAUUCCUUGUCUUGUUCGAGAUUUUCGUGGGAAGCUUUCAGCUUUUCUCCAUUGAGUAUUAUAUUUUCUGUGGGUCUGUCAUAAAUGGCUUUGAUUAUGUUAAGGUAUGGUCCCUAUAUACCCACUUGGGUAAGAGUUUUGGUCAUGAAUAGAUAUUGUAUUUUGUCAACUGCUUUCUCUGCAUCUAUUGAGGUGAUCAUGUGGUUUUUGACUUUUCUUUUGUUAAUGUGGUGUAUGACGUUGAUUGAUCUGCGUAUGCUGAACCAUCCUUGUGCAUCUGGGAUGAAUCCCACUUGGUCAUGGUGUAUGAUCUUUUUUAUAUGUUGUUGGAUGCAGAUGGCUAAAAUUUUGUUGGGAAUUUUUGUGUCUAUAUUCAUCAAAGAUAUUGGCCUAUAGUUUUCUUUUUUGGUAGUAUCAUUGUCUGAUUUUGGAAUUAUGGUGAUGGUGGCAUCAUAGAAUGUCUUUGAGAGUGUUCCUUCUUCUUCAACCUUUUGAAAAAGUUUUAGGAGGAUGGGCAUAAGUUCCUCUUUGUACGUUUAGUAGAACUCACCUGUGAAGCCAUCUGGUCCUGGACUUUUAUUUGUAGGGAGUGUUUUUAUGACAUAUUCAAUUUCAUUUCUAGUGAUUGGUCUAUUUAGUUGAUCUAUUUCUCCUUGAUUCCGUUUUGGCAGGCUGUAAGACUCUAGAAAGUUGUCCAUUUCUUCUAGGUUGUCAAAUUUGUUGGCAUAUAAUUGUUCAUAGUAUUCUCUCAAUCAAAACUACAAUGAGGUACCACCUUACACCAAUCAGAAUGGCCAUCAUUAACAUGUAACAAAAAGCAAAUGCUGGAGGGGGUGUGGAGAAAAGGGUACCCUCCUGCACUGCUGGUGAGAAUGUUAACUGGUACAACUAGUAUAGAAAACAGUAUGGAGGUACCUCAGAGAACUAAAUAAACAACUACCAUAUGACCUAGCAAUCCCACUCCUGGGCAUAUAUCCAGACAAAACUUUCAAUGAAAAAGAUACAUCCACUCAUAUAUUCACUGCAGCACUAUUCACAAUAGCCAAGACAUGGAAAAAACCUAAAUGUCCAUCAACAGAUGAAUGGAUUAAGAAGAGGUGGUAUAUAUACACAUGAAUACUAUCCAGCCAUAUAAAAGAACAAAAUAAUGCUUUUUGCAGCAACAUAGAUGGAACUAGAGACUCUCAUACUAAGUGAAGUAAGUCAGAAUGAGAAGGACAAAUACCAUAAGAUAUCACUUAUAUAUGGAAUCUAAUAUAUGGCACAAACGAGACUGUCUACAGUAAAGAAACAAACUCAUGGACUUUCAGAACAGACUUGUGGUUGCCAAGAGAGAAGGGGAAGGAGUGGGAUGGACUGGGAAUUUGGGAUUAAUAGAUGCAAAGUGUUGCAUUUGGGGUGGAUAAGCAAUGAUAUCCUGAUUUAUAGCCCAUGGAACUAUAUCUAGUCAUCUGUGAUAGAACAGGAUGGAGAUGAUGGAGGAUCAUGUGAGAAAAAUAUAUAUACAAAUAUAUAAUUAUAGCUGGCCUAUAGUGUUAUAUACAUAGGUGACUGGCUCACUUUGCUGUAUAGUAGAAAAUUGACAAAACACUGUAAACCAACUACAAUUGAAAAAAUAAAAAUCAUUAAAAAAAG